Long non-coding RNA from Hirundo rustica (Barn swallow), 1503 nucleotides. RefSeq lists it as uncharacterized. The transcript is spliced from 3 exons. The record is from RefSeq and is a predicted model, not a curated record. Lineage: Eukaryota; Metazoa; Chordata; Aves; Passeriformes; Hirundinidae.
AAAUUGCAGCUUAAUAUCAACUACUUUGAAAACCUCCCUGGAGCCCCGGAGCCCCGGAGCCAGGAGAGAUCUCCACCGGGCCCCCGAUAACAACUACGGGCCCGGUUGGGCUGAGGCCGCCCCGACUGCCACCGAGGAGUGGGCAGAGCUUUCCCCCCUCCCCUCCUCCGGUGAUUUUCAGAUAAAGAAGAAAAGAGUGGAGGAAAAAAACCAGGCCGAUCCGAGGUGCAGCGGCAGAGAGACUGCUGCCCGGCAGAGAUCACACGGCUGCUGCAGGCCUGAGCAAAGUUAACCCCUUCAGGGCAACAUGAAGCUGCCAAAGCCUAACCCUUCCUUAAGAGAGAGAAGAAAGAGACAGAGUGGACGUAGAAAUGACACAGCAUGAGGACAGUCAUAAGGAAUGAAAAAGGCUUGGAGAAAUAUUCCUGAGUAUGCUCUUCAGGGCUGCUCCUCCCUAGGACCAUCCUCCUUGCCUGCAGCUCCAUGCUGUGUCCUCUUGCACAGCCCAAGUUUUGUGGGCUCAGCGUGAGAAGGGAAGCACUUGCUCGAGACACCCAGCUCCUACCAGUUACUGGCAUCCCAAAAGGAAGUUGGGCUUCACCCACCUGCAUACCUGGAAGCUGGUGCCUGCUCAUUCCAACAGCUGUAGUGGCCUGACCUCAGCUCUGCCACAAACUUGGGAGAGGGGAGAGCAUGGCCAACCACUUGUGUGCUCCGAUGGCAGUCCUGCCAAAGCGUGUCCCUUGGUGCAGGCUAACACUCCUCUCUGCCUGGUGCAUCUCCAGACCAUGAAUCCAGCAGACAUUUGUGAACACUGCAGAGCCCGGGGCGCAAGGGCAGGAUGUUUCUCCACAGCAGGAACCACGCGGUGUGCCUAAAACCCUUUCUGCACUAUGAAACUGGGCAACACCUUUGCCAUUCAGAGGGAAGGGAAGCCCUUCAACAAGCAAAGACUUUGGGGAACCUCAGGGAGGAGCUGGCAGGGACAAGUUCCAGUUGUGGCACAUGACCCACACUACCUGCUCUUCACCAUGCUGUGAGCUCCAGGGAGCUCUGAUCUCAGAGCUCACAAGCUCUAAGAUCCCAUGGCCUCUCUUUCAAGGGCUGCCCCUUCCUGGCAAGUGUCCCCUUCCCUGCACAGCUGAUGUAGGGGGGCAGGGAGGCUUGGCUUCUGCCCCCCAAUUGUCCCAUCCUCUUCCGAUGUGUGUUCUUUCAUACUCCUCAUUCUCAGUGGAUAAGUCUGUUCAGAUGGAAAGCUUUUCCCAGGAUUAACUAAAGAUAAAUUCUUUUCUCCCCCUUGCUAUGACAGUGGCUGGAUUAAGACCUUAGCUACAUGUGAACAGUGCAGGGAAGCCCUCAUCAUGGCCAGAAGCUGAGUCAUAUAACCAGCAAAGAAUUAAAUCUCUAUGAGGCAGGGAAAGGAAGUACUGUCUUAGAGCAAAAUAUUUAGAUUCUGUGGAAUAUUGGCCAAUUACAAUAUUUUUCUUCAAACAGAACAUUUAU